AAAUUCAUCACCAAGAUACCAAAUUUUUUCCUUUAUGAGCAGCUGUCAAUCAUGAUGAGAAUAAACCUGGGAAAACCAUUCUAAAUAACAUAACCCAGCUUCAUGAUUCAUGCCAACAGCUCUCCACUCUAGUUUAUUGUAGCCAGUUGCCUCUUGAGCUGUAAGAAAUCAAGUGUCAGAUAUAAACCAGCUAUCAACCAAUGCCUCUUUAUGGUUUCUUUUGCUAAAGCUAUCACCUAAUCACCCUUAUAUAUACAUUGAGGUCCUGAAGAAAGUUCCCCAACCACUUCCACUUUUUUACUAGAGCAAAAAUUCUAACCAUAGAAAAGUCUUUCAGUGUCCUCAACUCUUGUUUGAUUAACAGUUAGUAAGUCCUACACCUCAAGUUAUUCUAUUCUAAUUCAUAAUUACUUUGAACUUCACCUAUUACAUGCCAUUCUUUAAGGAACAUAUAGCCUGUCUUUCAAUAUCUUCAUGCUUAAUCAAGCAUUUUGUAUUCCCCAACAAUUUCAUACACUGGUGCAUGUCCUCAAGAGAAUCAAAUCCAACUACCUGACAAAGAGCAACAUCUUUUUAAUGUUGACAAACUCAGCUCCAACUCCUGUUUACCAAUAGAGUAAUUUGGGAGUAUUCAAAAGGCAAUGUUAGCUUGGAAGGUUGAUGGGAAUCUCAGGACUCAAUCUGUGCAAUAAUUCAAUGAGCCUAAAGCUAUAUAAUCAUUGGCAUCUUUUUCUUUGUUUAAGCAUACCUGUAGGCAGGACACCUUGAUUCUUGCAAGGGCCUGCUAAAAUUUGGAGGAAAUGGUCAGAUGUCAGCCACAAAACAAAGCAUAUGGUGGGUUUCAUUUUGGACAAUCAACUACAUCCAUUUGACAUAAGAGGCCCUUCAAAUGAUUGUUCAUGGUACCUCUUGAACAAUUCUCUAUCCUAAGCAUACCAACCAUAAGAGAAAUUUGACCUCCAAUACUGAUAUCACCGACACAAUGUGAGCUAUCGUUUGCUUCUUGAUUGGGGUCUUCGAGCUGUCUGUGAUGAAGUCAUCAGAACAAUUCUUUGUGGAAACAUACAAAGCUGGAGCAAAUAACAACUGCUUCAUUUGCAUUAGGCAACUUUAAUUGCCAGCUUUU
Molecule: long non-coding RNA, 1126 nt
Filed under: Musa acuminata (dwarf banana)
Lineage: Eukaryota; Viridiplantae; Streptophyta; Magnoliopsida; Zingiberales; Musaceae
Description: long non-coding RNA (MACU_LNC004127)
Source: RNAcentral